GCUUCUCUGAUGUUAGCGGCGGACGGGUGAGUAACACGUGGAUAACCUACCUAUAAGACUGGGAUAACUUCGGGAAACCGGAGCUAAUACCGGAUAAUAUUUUGAACCGCAUGGUUCAAAAGUGAAAGACGGUCUUGCUGUCACUUAUAGAUGGAUCCGCGCUGCAUUAGCUAGUUGGUAAGGUAACGGCUUACCAAGGCAACGAUGCAUAGCCGACCUGAGAGGGUGAUCGGCCACACUGGAACUGAGACACGGUCCAGACUCCUACGGGAGGCAGCAGUAGGGAAUCUUCCGCAAUGGGCGAAAGCCUGACGGAGCAACGCCGCGUGAGUGAUGAAGGUCUUCGGAUCGUAAAACUCUGUUAUUAGGGAAGAACAUAUGUGUAAGUAACUGUGCACAUCUUGACGGUACCUAAUCAGAAAGCCACGGCUAACUACGUGCCAGCAGCCGCGGUAAUACGUAGGUGGCAAGCGUUAUCCGGAAUUAUUGGGCGUAAAGCGCGCGUAGGCGGUUUUUUAAGUCUGAUGUGAAAGCCCACGGCUCAACCGUGGAGGGUCAUUGGAAACUGGAAAACUUGAGUGCAGAAGAGGAAAGUGGAAUUCCAUGUGUAGCGGUGAAAUGCGCAGAGAUAUGGAGGAACACCAGUGGCGAAGGCGACUUUCUGGUCUGUAACUGACGCUGAUGUGCGAAAGCGUGGGGAUCAAACAGGAUUAGAUACCCUGGUAGUCCACGCCGUAAACGAUGAGUGCUAAGUGUUAGGGGGUUUCCGCCCCUUAGUGCUGCAGCUAACGCAUUAAGCACUCCGCCUGGGGAGUACGACCGCAAGGUUGAAACUCAAAGGAAUUGACGGGGACCCGCACAAGCGGUGGAGCAUGUGGUUUAAUUCGAAGCAACGCGAAGAACCUUACCAAAUCUUGACAUCCUUUGACAACUCUAGAGAUAGAGCUUUCCCCUUCGGGGGACAAAGUGACAGGUGGUGCAUGGUUGUCGUCAGCUCGUGUCGUGAGAUGUUGGGUUAAGUCCCGCAACGAGCGCAACCCUUAAGCUUAGUUGCCAUCAUUAAGUUGGGCACUCUAAGUUGACUGCCGGUGACAACCGGAGGAAGGUGGGGAUGACGUCAAAUCAUCAUGCCCCUUAUGAUUUGGGCUA
RNAcentral lists this ribosomal RNA (1149 nucleotides) under Staphylococcus argenteus. RNAcentral's name for it is "bacterial SSU rRNA". It matches the Rfam family "Bacterial small subunit ribosomal RNA", at positions 79 to 1216 of the family's 1533-position model. The record is from RNAcentral. Lineage: Bacteria; Bacillati; Bacillota; Bacilli; Caryophanales; Staphylococcaceae.